CUUAAAUUGAAGAGUUUGAUCAUGGCUCAGAUUGAACGCUGGCGGCAGGCCUAACACAUGCAAGUCGAGCGGUAGCACAGAAGAGCUUGCUCUUUGGGUGACGAGCGGCGGACGGGUGAGUAAUGUCUGGGAAACUGCCUGAUGGAGGGGGAUAACUACUGGAAACGGUAGCUAAUACCGCAUAACCUCGCAAGAGCAAAGAGGGGGACCUUCGGGCCUCUCGCCAUCAGAUGUGCCCAGAUGGGAUUAGCUAGUAGGUGAGGUAAUGGCUCACCUAGGCGACGAUCCCUAGCUGGUCUGAGAGGAUGACCAGCCACACUGGAACUGAGACACGGUCCAGACUCCUACGGGAGGCAGCAGUGGGGAAUAUUGCACAAUGGGCGCAAGCCUGAUGCAGCCAUGCCGCGUGUGUGAAGAAGGCCUUCGGGUUGUAAAGCACUUUCAGCGGGGAGGAAGGCGGUGAGGUUAAUAACCUCAUCGAUUGACGUUACCCGCAGAAGAAGCACCGGCUAACUCCGUGCCAGCAGCCGCGGUAAUACGGAGGGUGCAAGCGUUAAUCGGAAUGACUGGGCGUAAAGCGCACGCAGGCGGUCUGUUAAGUUGGAUGUGAAAUCCCCGGGCUUAACCUGGGAACUGCAUUCAAAACUGACAGGCUAGAGUCUUGUAGAGGGGGGUAGAAUUCCAGGUGUAGCGGUGAAAUGCGUAGAGAUCUGGAGGAAUACCGGUGGCGAAGGCGGCCCCCUGGACAAAGACUGACGCUCAGGUGCGAAAGCGUGGGGAGCAAACAGGAUUAGAUACCCUGGUAGUCCACGCUGUAAACGAUGUCGAUUUGGAGGUUGUGCCCUUGAGGCGUGGCUUCCGGAGCUAACGCGUUAAAUCGACCGCCUGGGGAGUACGGCCGCAAGGUUAAAACUCAAAUGAAUUGACGGGGGCCCGCACAAGCGGUGGAGCAUGUGGUUUAAUUCGAUGCAACGCGAAGAACCUUACCUACUCUUGACAUCCAGAGAACUUAGCAGAGAUGCUUUGGUGCCUUCGGGAACUCUGAGACAGGUGCUGCAUGGCUGUCGUCAGCUCGUGUUGUGAAAUGUUGGGUUAAGUCCCGCAACGAGCGCAACCCUUAUCCUUUGUUGCCAGCGAUUCGGUCGGGAACUCAAAGGAGACUGCCGGUGAUAAACCGGAGGAAGGUGGGGAUGACGUCAAGUCAUCAUGGCCCUUACGAGUAGGGCUACACACGUGCUACAAUGGCGUAUACAAAGAGAAGCGACCUCGCGAGAGCAAGCGGACCUCAUAAAGUACGUCGUAGUCCGGAUUGGAGUCUGCAACUCGACUCCAUGAAGUCGGAAUCGCUAGUAAUCGUAGAUCAGAAUGCUACGGUGAAUACGUUCCCGGGCCUUGUACACACCGCCCGUCACACCAUGGGAGUGGGUUGCAAAAGAAGUAGGUAGCUUAACCUUCGGGAGGGCGCUUACCACUUUGUGAUUCAUGACUGGGGUGAAGUCGUAACAAGGUAACCGUAGGGGAACCUGCGGUUGGAUCACCUCCUUACCAAGAAG
RNAcentral lists this ribosomal RNA (1553 nucleotides) under Pectobacterium brasiliense. Its description in RNAcentral is "bacterial SSU rRNA". It matches the Rfam family "Bacterial small subunit ribosomal RNA". Lineage: Bacteria; Pseudomonadati; Pseudomonadota; Gammaproteobacteria; Enterobacterales; Pectobacteriaceae. The record is from RNAcentral.